AUGGCAGUUAGCUUCCAUGAGUUCGAUGCCAUUCCUAGAGCUCUCGGUGCUAUUCCUAUUGUGUUCAGCCCCACUCCUACACCUCUCAGCUUUGCCACCAUCCUGGGUGAUAUGUGGCAUAGCAUUUAUCCUCGUGGAGAUUCACCCCAUUAUCAACUAUUCCAGUUUUCUGCCGGAGGAAGAAUUCUGGAGUAUGUUGCUCAUGUCCAUCUGUUAGCCCCAAUUCCUUUUGGUAAGCGUACCUACAGUUUCCACGGUGGUUACGGUGCUACUCUUGAGCGUGUUGUUCAGCUUGCCGCAAUGGCAGGAAUCACCAGUCUUCGUCGACAAGAGAAUAUGGUGCAAUAG
RNAcentral lists this ribosomal RNA (348 nucleotides) under Triticum aestivum (bread wheat). RNAcentral describes it as "partial small subunit ribosomal RNA". Lineage: Eukaryota; Viridiplantae; Streptophyta; Magnoliopsida; Poales; Poaceae. The record is from RNAcentral.